Molecule: long non-coding RNA, 447 nt
Organism: Zonotrichia albicollis (white-throated sparrow)
Lineage: Eukaryota; Metazoa; Chordata; Aves; Passeriformes; Passerellidae
Source: Ensembl
CCAUGGUGCAGGGAUUUCUAUAGCACAGUAGCCUUAAGCUGGAGGUGGGAAAGUGUCCUGAGGAAGCAAGGGCUAACUCCUGAACCAUUUGGACCAUGCAGUGUGGCUGUGCAUCCUCAGUGUUGGACUCUGGAGAGGACAACAGACAGCAAGGCUUUGAAGUCUUUCACAGCCCUUGGCCUUACGUGGGGUCCAAGGGAGGAAGGGGUCAAGCCACAUGGGAUACUCCUGAUCAGUUUAUAAGGAGCCUUGAGGUACAGUUGCUUUUGUUAGCAGGGACUGGACUGUAUCACCUUGGAAAACUCUUGCAUUCAAAUGUUCCCAAAUCACUGCACAUUGCAGCAGCAGGACAGUAGCGUGUCCAUUAUAAAAGCCUGUAGGAAUUUCUGUCCAUUGCAAGCUAAACUUCGGGUCAUACUCCUGGUUCUUCCCACUGCAGGCUGAAUA